Molecule: ribosomal RNA, 254 nt
Filed under: uncultured bacterium
Lineage: Bacteria
Description: partial 16S ribosomal RNA
Rfam family: Bacterial small subunit ribosomal RNA
Source: RNAcentral
UACGUAGGGUGCGAGCGUUAAUUGGAAUUACUGGGCGUAAAGCGUGCGCAGGCGGCUUUAUAAGACAGAUGUGAAAUCCCCGGGCUUAACCUGGGAACUGCAUUUGUGACUGUAAGGCUAGAGUGCGGCAGAGGGGGGUAGAAUUCCACGUGUAGCAGUGAAAUGCGUAGAUAUGUGGAGGAAUACCGAUGGCGAAGGCAGCCCCCCUGGGUCGACACUGACGCUCAUGCACGAAAGCGUGGGGAGCAAACAGG